Molecule: unclassified non-coding RNA, 163 nt
Filed under: soil metagenome
Description: partial internal transcribed spacer 1
Source: RNAcentral
GUGAAUAUAGCGCAUCUCUUCGGAGAGCGUGACCUCCACUUUCAACUCUGUGCAUUUUUUGGCGAGGGGGAACGAGACGAAGCGACGCAAGUUGCAGACUCUCGCCUCUUGCGGCUCAUUUUAAACACUAGUUAAAGUAUGUAACGAAAUAUCGAAACAAAAA